AAUUGAGCCAAAGCAGCAUAUUGAGCCAAAUGAAGGUUCUCAGAUAUAAAAGGAGAGGCAUCAAAGGAGACUCACACAAAUUGAAACUUUGCUUGAUACAUUGAAAGUUGGAAAGUGGUGGUAUCAGCAUCCUUGGAUGCUCAAUCCACUGUCCAAAAUAGAUGUAAAACAUCAAAAGUAUCAGACACCAAUGUUUUCCAAAGUGAUAACUAAGAAAUCGAUGAAGAUGAAUAACAAAGGGAAAAAAAAGUUCUUCAAAUUCAAGUCCAAAAAGAGGAGAAAUAUGAAGAAUUUGUUUACAAAGAUCAUCUGUCUAUCUAUGCAAAAACUCAACCAACUGUGAAUAAACAUCAAGAAAAAAUUAUACAAAUGAGGCAUAAAUAUGUUGCAGCGGAAGAUUUCCAGACGACAAAAUUGGGAAAACAAGAAAGGUAUGCACAUCUUGAAACUAUUCUGGAUACGUUGAAAUUUGGACAGUGGUGGUAUCAGCAUCUUCGGAAGCUCAACCCAAUGCUCAAAAUUCAAUGGAAAACCGUUAAAGUAUGAAGAAUACCAGUAGCUCCCAAAUAGAAGUCAGAAAAAAGUGACCGUUCAAGAAUGAUACAACUCGAUUAGGUGCAACAAAUUCAAGAAUAACAAGCAUAUGAGCAAAAUGUGGACACAAAUCUAUGAGAUAAAUAGGAGAAAAAAGAGAAUACCGACCUUAAGCGCAAACACAUGACAGGACCAAAUUAGAAUAGAGACCACCGCUUUCAACAAAAGCCACCACCAGAUCUGGGCACCAAGAAAACACACAUACAAGAGAUCUUUGAGGAACAAAACAAGAAGAAGGAGAAAAUGGGAAGAUGAACAGGAAAACAGGGAAAUUAUCAAGAAGCUGGAAGGAGAAUACAAAAAUUAUACCUUAGCUAAAUGGAGGAAAUGGAUCGAUGCAUUGAAGCUUGAAAAGCUUGCUAGCAAAAUGAAGAAGUAGCUCUGAAUUUUCCAAUUUCAAUUUGGAAACAUACUUAACUUUUGUUUC
This 1021-nucleotide long non-coding RNA is filed under the name Solanum tuberosum (potato). RNAcentral describes it as "long non-coding RNA (STUB_LNC006596)". Lineage: Eukaryota; Viridiplantae; Streptophyta; Magnoliopsida; Solanales; Solanaceae. The record is from RNAcentral.